GACGAACGCUGGCGGCGUGCUUAACACAUGCAAGUCGAACGGAAAGGCCCUGCUUGCAGGGUACUCGAGUGGCGAACGGGUGAGUAACACGUGGGUGAUCUGCCCUGCACUUCGGGAUAAGCCUGGGAAACUGGGUCUAAUACCGGAUAGGAGCCAUUUUUAGUGUGAUGGUUGGAAAGUUUUUUCGGUGUAGGAUGAGCUCGCGGCCUAUCAGCUUGUUGGUGGGGUAAUGGCCUACCAAGGCGGCGACGGGUAGCCGGCCUGAGAGGGUGGACGGCCACAUUGGGACUGAGAUACGGCCCAGACUCCUACGGGAGGCAGCAGUGGGGAAUAUUGCACAAUGGGCGCAAGCCUGAUGCAGCGACGCCGCGUGGGGGAUGACGGCCUUCGGGUUGUAAACUCCUUUCGCUAGGGACGAAGCUUUUGUGACGGUACCUAGAUAAGAAGCACCGGCUAACUACGUGC
Molecule: ribosomal RNA, 465 nt
Filed under: uncultured bacterium
Lineage: Bacteria
Description: partial 16S ribosomal RNA
Rfam family: Bacterial small subunit ribosomal RNA
Source: RNAcentral